AUACGGGCAGGAGAAAUCCUUUAGAGCGCUUUGUGACCACCCAGAAGUAGAAGAAUAAAACUAACGCUAUUAAAAAGCAAUGGAAUCCCUGCCUACUGCUGUUUCUCUGCCUCACAAACCUUUUUUCCCCUUUAAAUGCAACAAUAUAUUAACACUCUGUCAGUUGAAGAGUGCUUUAUAAAUGGUAGAUGCUGUUUCUUGCUUAAACAACUGCUCUGAGUGCCUGAUAGAGCUAUAGGCACACCUGUUUAAAGCUCUGCAAGUCCCAUUCACCUCCCGGAUUCGGAUCUUCAAGGCAACAACUGCAGACCCAGCUGUGGCAGGCAGACUUCUAAGACGGCCCCCUGAGAUCCCUGCUUCCUAGAGUUCAUGCCCUGUGUAAUCUCCCCCUUUCCCUUGAGUAGGGGUUGGACCUCGUGACUCACUGCUAAUGAGUAGAAUAUGAUAAAUGUGAUGGCAUGUCACUGUCAAGAUUAGGUUACAGAAGACUGUGAUUUCCAUCUUGCUGGCACUCUCCUGCCUUCUCUCUCACUUGUUCACUCUGACAAAGCCAGUUGCCAUGUUGUCAGCUGCCUUACAGAGAAGUCAAUGUGGCAAGGAACUGUGGCCUCUGGCCAACAGCCAGCAAGGAACUGAAGCUCUCUGCCCAACAUCCUGCAAGGAACUAAGUCCUGCUAACAACCACUGAGAGCACAGCCCCUUGGCCUGAAGACGUCUCUGGUUCCAGUGAGUGGCUAUUUAGGGAGGAGGGAAACACUGCAGUGAUGUGGAGGAGCUGCAUUAUCUUUUCCUUCAUCUCUGAAGCCAGGCUAUGCCAGAGAUAACACUGGAUGGAACCUUCUCAGUUUAAAAAGAGUCAUAAAAGAGAGAUCAAAGAGCUUUUGUGGCCAUGGAUAGACAUAAGAAGCAAGAGGAAUCCCCUCCCUGGGCUCCUGAUUUCUAAGGUCUUUCUCCUUAGGCUUUGCAAACUUACUACUUGAUUACACACUGCCUGCCUACUAACUGCCAGCACCUGCAUUUCUUUGCUGGAAGAUUUUACCUGACCUCUGGAGGCUGCCUGCCACCCAUGGGGUAGGUGGGAAUUGCUGGAAAAUUAACACCAUCUGGGGUCAGUUUACCAACAA
This 1124-nucleotide long non-coding RNA is filed under the name Equus asinus (donkey). RNAcentral describes it as "lncRNA (ENSEASG00005023891.1)". The record is from RNAcentral. Lineage: Eukaryota; Metazoa; Chordata; Mammalia; Perissodactyla; Equidae.